GCGGGUGCUGGGAGCCUGGCGGGCCGCGAAUGUAGCCAUCGCGCUGGGGCCGCCGAGAUUGAGUGCCCAGGAUGAACUUCACCUGGAAAAAGGGCUUCUACAAGCAGGACGUCAACAAGACCGCCUGGGAGCUGCCCAAGACCUACGUGUCCCUGACGCACGUAGGCAGCGGGGCCUACGGCGCCGUGUGCUCAGCCAUCGAGAAGCAGUCAGGGGAGAAGGUGGCCAUCAAGAAACUGAGCCGGCCCUUCCAGUCUGAGAUCUUUGCCAAGCGGGCCUAUCGCGAGCUGCUGCUGCUGAAGCACAUGCAGCAUGAGAACGUCAUCGGACUCCUGGAUGUCUUCACCCCAGCCUCUUCCCUGCGCAACUUUCAUGAUUUCUUUACCACCAAAGAGACAUCGUUGCCAGUCCCCACAGGGUUUGCAUCAACCUACCUCACCAUUUCCUGGGGACGCAGCUACCUGGUGAUGCCCUUCAUGCAGAUGGACCUGCAGAAGAUCAUGGGAAUGGAGUUCGGUGAGGACAAGAUCCAGUACCUGGUGUAUCAGAUGCUCAAAGGUCUUAAGUACAUCCACUCAGCUGGGGUCAUCCACAGGGACCUGAAGCCAGGCAACCUUGCUGUCAAUGAGGAUUGUGAGCUGAAGAUUUUGGAUUUUGGGUUGGCACGGCAAGCAGAUGCAGAGAUGACUGGCUAUGUGGUGACCCGCUGGUACCGGGCCCCUGAGGUGAUCCUCAGCUGGAUGCACUACAACCAGACUGUGGACAUCUGGUCUGUGGGCUGUAUCAUGGCGGAGAUGCUGACCGGGAAAACUCUGUUCAAGGGGAAAGACUACCUGGACCAGCUGACGCAGAUCCUGAAAGUGACGGGGGUGCCGGAUGCUGAGUUUGUGCAGAAGUUGAAUGACAAAGCGGCCAAAUCCUACAUCCAGUCCCUGCCACAAACCCCCAAGAAGGAUUUCUCUCAGCUCUUCCAGCAUGCCAGCCCCCAGGCUGCAGACCUGCUGGAGAAGAUGCUGGAGCUGGACAUGGACAAGCGCCUGACCGCCUCUCAGGCCCUCACCCACCCCUUCUUUGAAUCCUGCCGGGACCCUGAGGAGGAAACAGAGGCCCAGCAGCCAUUUGAUGAUUUCUUAGAACAGGAGAAACUCACAGUGGAUGAAUGGAAGCACCACAUUUACAAGGAGAUUGUGAACUUCAGCCCCAUCGCCCGGAAGGACUCUCGGCGCCGGAGUGGCAUGAAGCUGCAGUGACCCGUCUAGCCCGACCCUCGGCUGAGCCCAGGAAUGGCCACAUGAUGGCCAUGAGGGAGGGGCCCCAUCCCAGAGCCCCUUUGUUGUGGAGCCAAACGUGUUUGGCUGCUAAAUUAAGGGAGUUGCAGAGAGAGCUGCAGCUGGUGAGACAUCGCAUGCAGGUUAUUUUGGGAAAAAGAAAAAGCUUGAGGCUCCAGAGAGAUACCCACAGUGAGAAAGUGGUAAAGUCAGGAUUUGAACCACGGCAGCCUCAAACACUGUGCCAAAGGCUGUCAACCCAAGCCUGGAAUCAAGGGUUGCCAGCUUCCCCGCCCUUCUAGCCUGUCUCUGAGCUUCUUCACUGCUGCCUGUGUCCAAGGACCCUGUUUUCUCUCCCAAGGAGUGGCCCUCCUAUCCAGGAGGGAGGAGUGGAUCGAGGGAGGGGCUCUGACCUUGCUGCUGACUGAACUGCCACCGGUCCCCUUAGUCUACAUCCUUCAGUGAAUUGUCUUCUGAGACUCCUCAAUAGCCCCAAGGAAAGUCUAGCCUUCUUGGCCUGGUAUUCAAAGUCCCCUGCAUUCUCUAAACUCAUCUACUCCUACUGCCUCCCGUUUUCCCUAUGCCAGCAUGGCCUGCCAAGGAACACCAGCCCUGGGAUACAACACCAUGAGGCUCAUUAACAGGUUGAAGGUUCUGACAAGUCCUACAGUGAGGAGAACUGUUCAACAUUGUUUAAUCCAGAACUUGCCAAGUGUGCUUAGCCGCAGGACCCCCCUUCUCCUGACGGCCAGCAUGCACAGAAGCCUCUUUGCCUAGUGCAGCCCAGUAUGCAGGUCCCAAUACUGCUUUUCCCCAAGCAGGCCUGGAGCUUGGGCUUCUUUCAAAGCCUCUGUGGAGAAGUCCCUCCCUCCUUCUCCUCCUUAUUCCCUCAAGACUUUGCCUCAGGCCUCCCUCCAGGAAGUCACUCUCCAUCACCCUCCAUCAGAGAAUGGGCAGCUUCCUCCCUCUGCCCCUGGCCCUCUAUGAACAGCAUUUACAGCGUGUACGGUUCUGCUUUCCCUCCCCAUUGCCCACUGUGAGCCCCUGAUUGGAACAAACAUCUAUGAAUGAAUGAUGUUCCAAGGGCCUGUUGGUCGUUUCUCUGCCCAGAUCAGACCAGCAUGGUAUCCAGGGCAGCAGAGAAUCCAGCAGGAAGCAGAAGUGGGUGCCUUGGCCUGUACCUUAAGAGUUUUUCCCCUGAAAAUCUCAGGCUCUCAGACUCCCAGGCCUCUCCCCAUCAUCCCUCGGUGUCCUCCAGUCCAUCCCCCACCCAGAAUUAAACUUGUGUGUGUCACCUCA
This is an RNA transcript of Lagenorhynchus albirostris (white-beaked dolphin), 2567 nucleotides long. It is a transcript of the gene named mitogen-activated protein kinase 13, with no coding region annotated. The record is from RefSeq and is a predicted model, not a curated record. The transcript has 15 exons. Lineage: Eukaryota; Metazoa; Chordata; Mammalia; Artiodactyla; Delphinidae.